This 324-nucleotide unclassified non-coding RNA is filed under the name soil metagenome. RNAcentral describes it as "partial contains 5.8S ribosomal RNA, internal transcribed spacer 2, and large subunit ribosomal RNA". The stretch from base 1 to 118 matches the Rfam family "5.8S ribosomal RNA", at positions 35 to 154 of the family's 154-position model. The record is from RNAcentral.
GAUGAGACGCAGCGAAAUGCGAUAAGUAAUGUGAAUUGCAGAAUUCAGUGAAUCAUCGAAUCUUUGAACGCACAUUGCGCCCCUUGGUAUUCCGAGGGGCAUGCCUGUUCGAGCGUCAUAUUAACCACUCCCGCUUGCGGGGUCUUGGGCUUCGCCUCCGGGCGGGCCUUAAAAUCAGUGGCGGUGCCGUCGGGCUCUACGCGUAGUAAAUUUUCUCGCGAUAGGGUCCCGGUGGAUGCUUGCCAACAACCCCCAACUUCUUAAGGUUGACCUCGGAUCAGGUAGGGAUACCCGCUGAACUUAAGCAUAUCAAUAAGCGGAGGA